UCUUAUGUACAUGCCUAUAGUGUUCAUGCAUUGGAUCCCAUCAAAACUCUACAAUUAAGUGAGCUAGGGCUAGAGUAGUACCAGGAUGGGUGACCUCACGAGAAGUCCUAGUAUUUUACAUGCC
Picea glauca (white spruce) is the source of this 124-nucleotide non-coding RNA. The record is from Rfam. Lineage: Eukaryota; Viridiplantae; Streptophyta; Pinopsida; Pinales; Pinaceae.